UGGAUCCAGACUUUGAUUCUGGCUCAGGAUGAACGCUAGCUACAGGCUUAACACAUGCAAGUCGAGGGGCAGCGAUGAAGAAAGCUUGCUUUCUUCAGGCGGCGACCGGCGCACGGGUGAGUAACGCGUAUCGAACCUGCCUCAUACUCAGGAAUAGCCUUGCGAAAGUAAGAUCAAUGCCCGAUGUUAUUAGGAUAUCACAUGAUGUUUUAAUUAAAGAUUUAUCGGUAUGAGAUGGCGAUGCGUCCCAUUAGUUUGUUGGCGGGGUAACGGCCCACCAAGACAUCGAUGGGUAGGGGUUCUGAGAGGAAGGUCCCCCACAUUGGAACUGAGACACGGUCCAAACUCCUACGGGAGGCAGCAGUGAGGAAUAUUGGUCAAUGGACGCAAGUCUGAACCAGCCAAGUAGCGUGCAGGAAGACGGCCCUCUGGGUUGUAAACUGCUUUUAGUUGGGAAUAAAGUGCAUCACGUGUGAUGUUUUGUAUGUACCAUCAGAAAAAGGACCGGCUAAUUCCGUGCCAGCAGCCGCGGUAAUACGGAAGGUUCAGGCGUUAUCCGGAUUUAUUGGGUUUAAAGGGAGCGCAGGCGGACCUUUAAGUCAGCUGUGAAAUACGGCGGCUCAACCGUCGAACUGCAGUUGAUACUGGAGGUCUUGAGUGCACACAGGGAUACUGGAAUUCAUGGUGUAGCGGUGAAAUGCUCAGAUAUCAUGAAGAACUCCGAUCGCGAAGGCAGGUAUCCGGGGUGCAACUGACGCUGAGGCUCGAAAGUGCGGGUAUCAAACAGGAUUAGGUACCCUGGUAGUCCGCACAGUAAACGAUGAAUACUCGCGAUUUGCGAUACACAGUAAGUCGCCAAGCGAAAGCGUUAAGUAUUCCACCUGGGGAGUACGCCGGCAACGGUGCAACUCAAAGGAAUUGACGGA
RNAcentral lists this ribosomal RNA (926 nucleotides) under uncultured bacterium. RNAcentral's name for it is "bacterial SSU rRNA". It matches the Rfam family "Bacterial small subunit ribosomal RNA", at positions 1 to 917 of the family's 1533-position model. RNAcentral also lists the same sequence under 1 other name. The record is from RNAcentral.